Molecule: ribosomal RNA, 521 nt
Filed under: uncultured Chloroflexota bacterium
Lineage: Bacteria; Bacillati; Chloroflexota
Description: bacterial SSU rRNA
Rfam family: Bacterial small subunit ribosomal RNA
Source: RNAcentral
CCUACGGGAGGCAGCAGUAAGGGAUAUUGCACAAUGGACGGAAGUCUGAUGCAGCGACGCCGCGUGGGUGAAGAAGGUUUUCGGAUCGUAAAGCCCUUUUCUAUGUGACGAGAGAGGACGGUAGCAUAGGAAUAAGUGUCGGCUAACUACGUGCCAGCAGCCGCGGUAAAACGUAGGACGCGAACGUUAUCCGGAGUUACUGGGCGUAAAGCGCGCGUAGGCGGUUAUUUAAGUUACCUAUGAAAGAUACAGGCUAAACUUGUAUUGGUUAGGUAAAACUGGAUAACUAGAGAGAAAUAGAGGGAAGUAGAAUUCCGGGUGUAGUGGUGAAAUGCGUAGAUAUCCGGAGGAAUACCAGUGGCGAAGGCGGCUUCCUGGAUUUCCACUGACGCUGAUGCGCGAAAGCGUGGGUAGCGAACGGGAUUAGAAACCCCGGUAGUCCACGCCGUAAACGAUGUACAUUAGGCGUUCGGUUACGCAAGUAAUUGAGUGUCGCAGCAAACGCGAUAAAUGACCGCCUG